Molecule: long non-coding RNA, 1166 nt
Organism: Macaca mulatta (Rhesus monkey)
Lineage: Eukaryota; Metazoa; Chordata; Mammalia; Primates; Cercopithecidae
Source: Ensembl
ACAGCUGCUUUGCCUCAGGCGUAAAUCAGAAGAGGAAAACCAGCUUCUGGACCCGGAGGGAGGAUGAAAGGGAAUAGGAAUUGAGGGAAGUGGAAGGGAAGACUAAGGGACCCCUGGAGAGUCCCUACUAAGCCAGACAUAACAAACAAAAGUCCUCUGCUACUGGGGAAGACAGAACAGAGAAGCCAGCAGGGGAAGAAAAAGAUGAUGCUGUUCUUGAUGCCUCAAAAACUGCAAGGGAGAACCCAGGCAACUGAUAUACACACCCUUGGAACAAAUCUACCCCAGAAGUACAAGACACACACUUCAAAUUCAUGGAAUAAAUGGGAGCUCCUGGCCACAGUGGGAGCCAUGAUCUCUCUCCUUUAUACGUGGCUGUAUUCCCAGAGCUUUCAUUUCCAUGUGGCACAUUUUUAUGCUCAUUUUGGGUAAAGAUAUCUGAAAGGAGCUGGUGUAGUGAAGGAUGAAGAGAAGGCAAUGCAAUGGUUUAGGGAUGUAGAAAUGCUUCUUAAUGUUGCUGCAAAACGGGGAUCCAAGAAGACGAAGAACUUCUGGAGAAUGUUAUUUGGACUAAAAGCAAGCUCUUGCCAACUGCAAGAACCAGGAGUUUUUAUAAACCAUAAUGUGUGUCCUGCAUCCUCUUCCUGGAACAUAGGAUGUUCUGCUCUCACUUGUCCACUGUGGCCCUGCAAUGCUUUGUGGCACUUUCAACGGAAGCUCCUUUUACUUAUAGUCUCGUAUGCUACUGUAGCAUUAAUUUGCUGCUGCAGCAUUAAUUUGCUGGUUAAAAUCCUUUCAAUGAAGUGUUACUUAUAUGUUUUCUUGGAUUUGAGUUUGACCUCUUCUGGAUAGAGGAGUACUUUAUUUGGUUUUCAUUACUGCUCACUUCAGCUAAAGUUGCAUUCAAGCCAGUGAGCAUUCUAUAACGUGGUAAGUGGAAAUAACAAAGAAACUUGUCACACCAGAGAUUGCUUCUUGGAUGUGUUAGUUGGCACUCACAGAUCCACUGAAAGAGCUAAACUCAUCAUUAGCCAAAUCUAUGACAUGUGAUGUUCUGCCUAAAAUAAGUCUGUUUUCAUUUCUCUCCAUUUCAAUUUUCUGCUCUAUUAGGUUUCUAUGGUAUUUUAUUACAUUCACUUUCUGUAUUACAAAAAGUCCUUUAUGGG